AACGCUCUCCGACGUCUUCAAGAUCCUGACUAUGCUUGAUAAUAGUAUGUGAAAGAAAAAAAAAUAAAAGAAGUAAGCAUAAAGUUUAGUAAACUUACAAGUAAAUAAAUAAGACCAUUUAUCAUAAACCAUCAUACUCAUAAAUUUUCAUCAAGCACUAGGAUCAUUACUUUCUUCUUUACUUACUCAUUUACUUGUUUACUUACUUGCUUGCUUAAAUAACUCACGAUUAUAACUUACUCUUCAC
This 247-nucleotide long non-coding RNA is filed under the name Gossypium raimondii (Peruvian cotton). Its description in RNAcentral is "long non-coding RNA (GRAI_LNC010416)". The record is from RNAcentral. Lineage: Eukaryota; Viridiplantae; Streptophyta; Magnoliopsida; Malvales; Malvaceae.